AAGGUAUGCAAUGUCCUUUCUUUCUACGUAGAUAUUAAUACGAUGCGAUCUAAGUGAAGUGCCUUAGUGGGUACUGUGCCAGUUGCCAAUCCACAUAUAUAUUUUGAUGUUCAUGCACAAUGCCAAACCCACUCUUAUAAACACAUAUAUAAUAGGGCUUUAGAGGCUCAAUCUUGUGUUUGCCUGUGAAUGUCACCUUUUCAAAAAUAAAAAAUAGAAAAUUCAUUAUGGGGUAUGUAGAGUAACACAUCUACAGGGUUCCCCUGUUCUUCCUAAUUGGGCCACACCUCAAAUGCUCUGCUAUUUCUCCUCUAUUAGGAGUAAUUUUUCGUAACAACCUUAUUUGAAUAGAUCUUUUCAAUAGCUCACACCUGUGUCCUUGAGCUCUAAGGAGACUUGAAACCCAAGUUGUUUUGGUGAUCUUUGGGUAAUGGAAUGGUAUUGUUCCCAGUCAGCUUAUACUGUAAAAAUAAAUAAAUUGUUUGUUUUUUAAUUAAAAAGGGAGCUUUUCACAUUUCAGUGUCUUUUUACCUAAUGAAGAGUUUUGUUUUUUGCCUUGUGAUUUUGGCAUAUCAAAGAAAAAGGUUGUCCCCUGGAUCAUAACAGGGGUAUUUGUUGUUGUCAGUUGCUUUUAUUAAUAAGUGAUUUGUGUAUGUUACUUGUCAAUCUUGUUUCAGUGGGGUGAUUGGAUUCAUGCUGUGCUCUACUGAGGGACCUGCUGUUGAUUUCAAGCAUCCUGUCAAUCCCAUUGAUGCAAAUGAGAGUGCUUGCAAGUCAAGUCGACCUUUGAAAUUUUACAACUCAGAGGUGUGAUUCUGCUUGCCCCAAGUCUUCUUCACUUCUGCGUUAAUCAUGUAUUAUAUUGAUUUACAAUUUUUUUUUUUUUUUUUUGGAUUUUGUUUUCAGAUUCACGCUGCAGCUUUCUGUUUGCCAUCUUUUGCAAAGAAGGUGAUUGAUUCAAAAACUACAUGAAAAAAAAAAAGAAAAGAAGAAGAAGUUUAAAGAGCACUUGACCAGGAUUUAAUGGUAGAGUUGCUGGAUUUCAUCCUCAUCGAAAUGGUGCAGUAGCAAUGAACCAUAGAAUAAGUUGAGGUUUGAAAUAUGUCCUCAGUGGGGGCGGAGUUAGUAUGCUUAUUGGAUUUUUGGGAUUAAUGUCAUUCCUUAUGAUUAGUACUGGACUAUGAAAAUUUGGGGACCACUCAUAGCCAGCUUAGUUCUUGCAACUAGUUGUUUAAUUCAUAAAUAUUAUAUUUAUGUUUCUUUGUUUCUUGAAUUUGCAAUUACAGCUUUGAUGUAUGUUUGAGAUGCCAAAUUCAAGAAAUAGGGGUUUUUUCCCUAUCUGGUUCAAAAACAUUUGUCAUACGUGUUUCGUCUCUUAGCUUUACAAUUCUUUACUGGAUUUUGAGGUUCUGAAUACAAGGAAUGCGGUACAUUUAAAGGGUGAUUGCAAUUUGUGAAAUGCCCUCAAACGUGAAAAGAAUAAACAAACCAGAAGCUCUGCUGGUUUAGGUUUCUUCAUGUAUGUAUGUUUACAGCAGGAAGCUGCUACAAAGUAUAAUGAGCAAUUGCUCUGCUGGGGGUAAACGGGAUGUACCGUGCUCAAAGGAUUGCCUUCCCUCAGCAGCAGGUAUUGGAUGCAGAGCAGGGGAAACACUUGAUGCAAUUAGGGAAAGCAACUUGUGUUGUGCCCCCUCUCAACUGUGUCUGCUGUAUUUACUUUCUGCCAUGUGACAUACUUUGAUGUCCUCAUGACUUGGGUAUAUCUUGUAAAAGAGCCUAAAAUUUUGAUAUCCAAACAUAAAUGGAAACAAGAAACACAAGAGGAUCUUGUAAAAGAACCUAAAAUUUUGAUAUCCAAACAUAAAUGGAAACAAGAAACACAAGAAAAAACACAUGAGAGAGAGAGAGAGAGAGCUUAUUAACUCCUCAAGAGGCUUAAUUGUGUCUUGAAGUUCUGAAAUCCAAAUGAAUCCUCAAGAGGCUUAAUUGUGUUUUGAAGUUCUCAAAUCCAACUGAAAACAAAAUAAAGAGCUUUAGGCUUCUCAACCUGCUGCCUUGUCGACCUUCUUUCCGGCUUCUGUUUCAUGAGUAAAAUCCACAUUCACAGUUUAUCUUCUACUCCUACUUCUCCAGCAAUGGCCUUCCUUAAAAUCCUCUUCUUGCAGUUGUGGAAAUAAACCAUGAAAACCAUCCACUUGACCACAUUCCCCAUACAAAGCAACAUAACUUGUAUUAGGAUUCCACUCCCUCUAACAUUGCAUCUGGCUUGGAGGCAUGCCAACCUUAAACCAAGUCCCCAUGCUAAAAUAACAAGCACCAACAGACGUCCACACUUCUCACUCCCUCUGCUAAAAUGUGAAGAUACUGCAAAUGCUUCAGCCCCAUAAGGCUCCUUCAAAAUUGAAAGCACAAUGCUCAUAUUCCAUUCCACACUCCAAUCCAAGUACUUGUUAGCAGUGCUGUAACAGCCGCCCCAAAAAGUAAACUAAACAACACAUUAAAAAAAACCUGUUUACUUCUAUAUACUCUUCAUCCCAAAACCUCCGUGAAAUAAACUAAUAGUUCACAAACAGCCAUACUAAUCCAAGAAAAGCACAGGUGGAGAGGAGGAGAACAUAAACAGAAGUGAUGAAAGGCCCCUUCAAUUUUGCAUUGUGGAAGAGUUCACAUACCAUCUCUCUCAGAGCCAUUGGCUUCUCUCCUGGUUGUAGCUUUGAUGCCAAAUUGACAGUCACAGCCGAGUUAAAGAACUCUAGGAGAUGAAGGGGCAGCAUAAAAAGGAGACCCAGCUGAACGAAUUUAAGGAAAAAACCCCCAGUCAGUCUUCUUGCUAUAUGGGUUGGGACAGGUUAAUUCCACCGGUAAGAGUAACCAGGAGGCAGUGUUAGAAUUUCAAUGGUUUCAGCAAGUGUCCUUUGGAGGACUAUUUCAUAGAAAACCAAGAAGGAAAACAGAGGAAGGGAAGAGAAAAGGCUGAAGAUGAUGAAGUUGGUGUUUUUGUAUGGGAUCAUGAGAGCUUCUUUGAUUAGAUCCAAGAAGCAUAGCUCCUUCCACAUAAUAUUGGUGCCAGUCACCUCCAAGCCUUUCACUUCUGUGCUCUAUCCUGAGAGUCUUGGAACAUAUAUGAAGGCUUCUCUCUGUGGUUUCCUUCGUCCGUCUACCAAUUCAGGGAUUGACUUGGUGUUCUACCCUCUUGGGUGAUAUUUUAGAUGAACACAAUGCUGUAGAUGUCAUUCAUGGGUGCUUGUUAAUAUAAUAUGUGUUUAUAUCUAAAUGGUAGAAUUCAUUUGGUUGACUUUAAUUUUAUGUAGUCCUGACCCAGGCUCAUGGCUUUUCUAGUCUCACAAUUGCUGGAUGAGAUAUUUUUUAGGGCUCAAAUUGACUUGUGAACUCUACCUCAAUUUACAGUUGGGUUCCCAUUCGAAUUGACCAUGCUUCUGACCUCUUGAUUUCUUACUCUAAAGCCAAUAGCUUAGGGUUCACAUGUUGGGACACAAGUCGAAUGGCCACAUCAUUCUCUAAUGCCUCUCAAAAAUGUGUCAUCUUUCAUUCCUAUUGUGUAGGCAUUCGGCUUUUACUGGCCUUUCCAGAUGGACUUUCUUAGUGCCAUUAGGAAUUAAACAAGUUUCUUGUUCCUCUUACCUGGUUAAUUAUUACUUCUAGUAUGUUGUUGGAGUAAGGGAUUCCCUUUUUAGCUGUCUAGAUUGCUUUCAGGACCACUGGUGUGAAAAUUAAGGAUUGGGCAAACCAAAGUAGCAGGUAUAGAACUGCUUCCUCCAGCACUACAUUCAGCUUCUAGGCAAGACAACCUCAACAACAAGCACCAGAAGAGUUCCAUGCUGUUCAUUACCCCUGUUAAUGUUAACCAAGAGCUUUAAUGCUUCCCUCCCAUGUGUCUCCUUCAAAUCAAAACCGUGAUAGACAUGUUCCAGCACUUUAAUUUAUGUACUUAUCUAGCAGUACUGUGAAAGCCAUUCAUGAAAUGCUACAACCAGCAGGCUAUGUAUAGCAGUUUAUUGCCAUCCUAUCAAUCCAAGUAGCAUAAAAGUUGACAUGAGAAGUGAGAACAAUGAGAGAUGUGAUGAAGGGACUCUUCAACCUUGUUUUGUGGAUGGCCUGACAUAUCAGCUUUCUUUGUGUUUUUGGAUUGUCCCCAGUGUUAUAUCCUAGAGCCUAAAUCAACGAUCAAAAUCACAUUGAAUCACUCUGGAAGAAGAUAAGGAAGUAGACACAGGACAUCCAGAUAACAGAAAGAAAAUUAAUCUUCUGGAGGUAGAGAAUGAGCUCCAACCAAUCAGUAUUGUAUGAAUAACCUAUAGCUUUAGCUAAAACUUGUGAGGCUUCAACCAGUACUGUUGAGAGGACUAUUUCAUAAAGUACCAUGAAGCAUAACAAAGGAAAGGAGGUGAAAUUAAUGAGCUUGGAAGGGAAACGAGCCUCUUUUGACUCUGUCAAAGACCUCCAGCUUCUGCUUCUGCUUAUUGUAGUUAUUCUCCAUGUUCAUCACAUCAAACCCUGCUAUUCCUUUGCUAUUAUGGAUAAUCUUCAUGCUGAUCUUAAUGGAACAGCAGUUGUUCUAUGAAUUUAUAACUCUGUGUCAAGUCUAUGGAGGCAGGAAAUUUAAGUCUAAUCAAUGAUUUAUGGCUGUUUCAUGAGAGUGCCAUUAAUAAUCUGUUUUAUCUUUAGGUCAUCAAAUGGUGGAGUAAAUGGUUAUUUUCAUUUUCAGUGUCUUGUAACUAAUGAAAGGCUGCUUCCUUCUAUUUGCUUUUACCUUUUGCCUAUCACAAUAAAGGGUCAUCUCCUGCAAAAAAAUGAGGGAGAGUAACAUCUUCACCACCUUUGCUCUGGAUAAGUAUGCAUGCAAUGUAUUUGUUUUGGUCAGUUGCUUUUAUUGAUUGUAUGUCAAUCUUGUCUCAUUUGGGUGAUUGGAUUCAUGCUGUGGUCUUCUAAGGGACCUGCAGUUGAUUUCAAGCAUCGGGUUAAUCUUAUAGAUGCAAAUGCAAUUGCAUGUCAAGCAGGCCCCUGAAAGUCUGCAACUCAAGAGGUGUGACGCAUAAAAUAUGUGUUAUCUCCAUGUUUCUUAUAUUAUCUUUGCAAUUCUCUUGUAUAUUUGAGGUUCUGAGUUGAUGAAUUAGGGCUCAUCUAUAGGGAUACUGAAAAUUGUGAAGAGCCUUCAAACCAUGCAAAAGCAGUAGUGAAAGAGUGAACCAACCACCAUUAAUGAUCUCAUCACAGCCUCCUGUUUAUGAUGUCAUUGCUGAUGGAUUUGGUGCUUUGGCAUCACUUGUGUACAUAUAUAUAUAUAUAUAUAUGUGUGUGUGUGUGUGUGUGUGUGUGUGUGUCUGUUUGUAUCUUACUUCACAUCAAUUGGCAUUAAACUUUGCUAAAAAGAUUAGUAAUGUAUCCACAAAUAAUUAGAAAGAGAAAGGAAAAAAAAGAAACAUCAAUAAAAGCUUGUAUACAGUUCAAGUUCAAGGAGAUAUUACAUGGAAUUGGAAGAGAGUUCACGGAUAAAGAAAGCUUACAUGAAGCUGAAUUCUGGAAAAGUCUAUGUGGAAGAGGAAGAGGGCUAGAUGAGCCUAGUAACUCGUUGGAGAGUCCAAUUAUGCUUCAAAGUUCCAAGUGAAAACAACAUAGAGAACUUUUGCAUCUCAACUUGCUUCCUUAUUGACCUUACUUCUAACUUGUGCUUCUCAGGUAAAAUCCAGCAUACUUUCCCAUGUACUCUUCUGAAGUUCUGGUUCUCGUGAACCAUUCUUAUUCAUUCACAUUUUUAUCUUCCAGUCCCACUUCCCCAUCAAUCUUCUCUAAAGUCCUUUUCUUGCAAUUCUGGAAAUAAACCGUACAGACCACCCAUUUCAACACAUUCCCAAUACAAAACAACAGAACUUGGGCUAUGAUUCCACUCCCCCUUUCACUGCAUCCAGCAUAGAGGCAUGUCAGCCUUAGACUGACCCCCGAUACGAAGAAAACAAGCAUCAACAGCCGUCCACACUCCUUGCUACCUCUACUAAAGUAUGAAGAUAUCAUCAAUGCUUCAGUCCCAUAACUCUCCUCCAAAAUUGAAAACACUAUACUCGUAUUCCAUACAACACUCCAAUCCAAGUACUUUAUUAACACUGCUAUAAAAGCUGCCCCAAAAAAUACACUAAAGAACACAUGAUACAAGAAUCCUUCUUUUUCAAGUAAAUCCUCGUACCAAAACCGCACUGAAAUGAUAUAGUAGUUAAUUACCAACCACAGUAAUCCAAGUAAACCACAGAUUGAGAGGAGGAGAACAUAAACAUGUGAUAAAAGGGUCCUUCAGUCUUGCCUUAUGGAAAAUUUCAUAUGCUUCCUCUUUCAGAGCCAUUGGCUUCUCUCCUUCAUGUAGCUUUGAUGCUAAGUUGACAGUCACAAUCAUGUUAAAGAACUCGAGGAGAUGGAGGGGCACCAAAUAGAGGAGACCCAACAGAACCAAUUUAAGAAAAAAAUCCCAAGUCAUUCUCAUUGCUGGGUCAAGCCAAUCCCACCGGUUAGAGUAACCAGGAGGAGGUUUUAGAAUUUCAUAGGCUUCAACAAGUGUUCUCUGGAAGAUCAUUUCAUAGAAAAUCAAGAAGAAAAACAGAGGGAGAGAAGUGACAAAACUGGAGAUUACGAAGUUGAUGCUUUUGUAAGGGAUCAUUAGAGCUCCUGUGACAACUUGAAAGAACUCCUGCACCUGCUUCAUCAUAAGACUGAUGUUGCUUAGCUCCAAGCCUUUCACCUCUGUGAUCAAUUAUAAGUUUCCUAACAUAGAUGGAGAGGAUUGAAGCAGAUGAAGUCUUCUCUUGGUGGUUGCAGUCUUCUUCCCCCUUGGACUGCAUUACAGAUGAGAUUAAUGCUGUAUACCCCACCAUGUGAUGUGGACAUGUGCAUCCAAAAGCAUAUAGCUUUAAUUUGGUUGACCUUGACUUUGAUAGGCUUCAGUCAUCACCAGGUCACCAACUCAUACUAGAUCCAGUUGCAUUUUAUUGUAAUUGAGAGAAUAACCCAAAUGAAUUUAACCGAAGCUGGUCCCUGAAUUUCAAAACCAUGCUUUCCCCCAUCCUUUCACCUUGAGUUCCCAAUCAGCUUAGACAACAAAAAUAAAUAAAUUGUUUGUUUUUUUAAUUAAAAAGGGUGAUUUUCACAUUUCUGUGUCUUCUAACCAAUGAAGGGCUUGUUUUUUGCCUCAUAAUGUUGGCAUAUCAAAGAAAAAGGUUGUCCCCUGGAUCAUAACAGGGGUAUUUGUUGUUGUCAGUUGCUUUUAUUGAUAACAGAAAUUUGAUUGCGAUUUGUGUAUGUUGCUUGUCAAUCUUGUUUCAUCAGGGUGAUUGGAUUCAUGCUGUGAUCUUUUGAGGGACCUGCUGUUGAUUUCAAGCAUCCUGUCGAUCCCAUUGAUGCAAAUAAGAGUGCUUGCAGAGUAUUUCCUUUAGUGGGAGUUUCCAGAAAGAACCAAUUUUUUUCAUUGUAGAUGCCAAGAACUAUGCAUUAGUCCGGGGCAGGGAAAGGGCUGGAAAUUUAAGCUAGAUGCAAUGCCCACAUUGCUUUCUGUUAGAAUUCAUGAGAGUUUGCCUUUGAA
This 7582-nucleotide long non-coding RNA is filed under the name Vitis vinifera (wine grape). RNAcentral's name for it is "long non-coding RNA (VVIN_LNC000138)". Lineage: Eukaryota; Viridiplantae; Streptophyta; Magnoliopsida; Vitales; Vitaceae. The record is from RNAcentral.